UUCACAUCAAAUUUUAUUUGGCUUAGUUUUUAUGCAGAGAAACUAUCUAUGAAAUUUGAUGCAAAUGAAGAUGAAGACGAUCGCCAUAUGAUGCCACCACAGGGGUUUGUUGUUGAAAAGAAAUCAGAUCAAUGAAAUACUAAAAGGCUCUGCAGAAAAGUCAGGAUCGGGUGAGAGAAAGAUCGACUCGAUUAGGGCUAAGAGCAGUGAAAUGAAGUGAGUUACGACAUUCCAGUGUCGACCAAUGUGCAGAGAAGAUAUAAUUGUUGGAAAUAUUUUGUUCCGGUCAUAUACGACUGGUUCCUCAAUCAUAAUCUUUGCAUCUUAUGUAUUACACUGCAAUGUAUUAAUUUCUUGUUCAUUCUGUUAGCUGUUACUUGUAUUAAUGAGAUUCUAGUUUUCCUAUUACAGCAAUGAGACCGAAGCGAAUAAAAAUAAUGAGAGUAGUGAAAAGCGUGGUUGAAGUAAUAAUCAAUGUUCGAAAACUUCUGCGUACAUGGGAGUUAGCAGGUUUUUGGUAUUCCUUAUUCUCUUGACUCAUGUUCAUAUAUUUUUCAAAUUUUGUACAGCUUAUAGCUACUGAAAGGAAGAGCUUGCCACAAAAGUAAAAAUGGAUAUGAACAGUGUAGCAGGUCCAGAUCAAAAAUGUACUGCAACAUAUUUCCUUGAACUAUGUAUUGUUUAACAUGUAAAGCUCAUUGUAAUUAGAUGAUAUGAAAAGGGGGAAAAAAAUAGUCUGCCAAAGUUCCCAGCCUUUUCUCUUCUUUGGGGCAAAAUUUUCUCUACAAUCUUCCUUCUAAUUAUGUUAUUUUGUAUUAGUGGUGUCUUUUUCAUGAAUAUGGAUAAGGUUUUCAAUUGUAAAGAAGAUGAGGACAGUUUAGUUAAUUUGUAAUACAUGUAUGACGUAUACGUAAUAUUGGAUCAAUUUAAAUUUUUCAAUUA
Molecule: long non-coding RNA, 942 nt
Organism: Prosopis cineraria
Lineage: Eukaryota; Viridiplantae; Streptophyta; Magnoliopsida; Fabales; Fabaceae
Exons: 2
Source: RefSeq, a predicted model, not a curated record